This 673-nucleotide long non-coding RNA is filed under the name Mytilus galloprovincialis (Mediterranean mussel). The record is from RNAcentral. Lineage: Eukaryota; Metazoa; Mollusca; Bivalvia; Mytilida; Mytilidae.
UUUUGAGUUUAAUUUUUCAUUGGAUUUUGGAUAUUUUUUCUUAAAAAGUUGACCGAUUGUUCCUGAUGGAUCCUGUUAUUCCGCCAUGAUGCUGAUAACUUUUUAUUGUUUUUAUACGACCGCAAAAUUUGAAAAAUUUUUCGUCGUAUAUUGCUAUCACGUUGGCGUCGUCGUCUGCGUCGUCGUCGUCGUCGUCGUCCGAAUACUUUUAGUUUUCGCACUCUAACUUUAGUAAAAGUGAAUAGAAAUCUAUGAAAUUUUAACACAAGGUUUAUGACCACAAAAGGAAGGUUGGUAUUGAUUUUGGGAGUUUUGGUCCCAAUAUUUUAGGAAUUAGGGGCCAAAAAGGGCCCAAAUAAGCAUUUUCUUGGUUUUCGCACUAUAACUUUAGUUUAAGUUAAAUAGAAAUCUAUGAAAUUUUUGACACAAGGUUUAUGACCACAAAAGAACGGUUGGGAUUGAUUUUGGGAGUUUUGGUUUCAACAGUUUAGGAAUUAGGGGCCAAAAAAGGGCCCAAAUAAGCAUUAUUCUUGGUUUUCGCACAAUAACUUUAGUUUAAGUAAAUAGAAAUCAAUGAAAUUUAAACACAAUGUUAAUGACUACAAAAGGAAGGUUGGUAUUGAUUUUGGGAGUUUAGGUCCCAACAGUUUAGGAAUUAGGGCCAAAAAGGGAC